RNAcentral lists this long non-coding RNA (28473 nucleotides) under Volvox carteri. Its description in RNAcentral is "long non-coding RNA (VCAR_LNC002140)". Lineage: Eukaryota; Viridiplantae; Chlorophyta; Chlorophyceae; Chlamydomonadales; Volvocaceae. The record is from RNAcentral.
GUACCCGGCACAGCUACGAGCACACAGGAUCAUUCAUCAUCCAUUAAAAACAUAUUCUGAUGGCCAAUAACAUUGCGACUAACAACAGCACGAUACCCAGCAACUCCAUAAACCGUGGGAACCUUAAUAAUGUAUUCGCCAAGGCAGUUGCCGCUCAAGACGCCUUUCGCAUGUAGCAGCUUUAAACUUAAUGUAAUUUUUAAGGUUAAAACAUAGAUAUUGAUGUAAUUUUUAAAAAUGGUAACACACACAAAACAGGAAUAUAGCGUCCAGACACAGCAUACAUCACCUCGGGGGAGUCAGCGUGCACCAGGGCGAGCGGCUGCGUGUCAUUGCCGCCCGUGCAAUUAUGGCCCAGCCAGUCGUGUACGGUCACAUUGACUUUGAUGUCCGUGUUGGAGGUAUAGAAGUCCAGGCGGGCAGGACUCUGCAAAAGGGGCCAUGCAACGCAUUCCAGUCGCCCUCACAACAGGCAGACAAGCGAUCCGGGAGCGAGAAAGAAUGACGGCAAUCACGGAGUCCCAGGUUCGGUAACUGAAAGGGCGCGGAGGAUAACGGCUCGCGCUGCGGCACGAGUGCAGCAAUGCGGUUGCUGAUGGCGCGGCAUAUGCAUCAAGGACCACGGAGGCGGACAUCGGCCUGCACGCAUCACGUCCGCCAUCCGUCACGCAGUGCGAAGCCAGUAACACUCGUUACACCUCUCUGGGUAACGCAACCGAUGUGUAAAACGCGCACACACACACACACUCUCUCUCUCUCUCAUCAGCACUUCAGGGGCUCUUAUGCAAACCUCAAAAUCCGUGCGUACAUGUUCCUACAUACUGCCAAAUGGAUCUGAAGAGAUGCGAAACCAGCGAGCAUGGAACUCACCACAAGGAAAUACGGUGUCGUGGACACAUCGGGGCCCGUAUCCGCUGAGUUGUUCCAGUUGGCGCACGGUAAGUUUGUGUACGGCACGCCGUACCACGACGGAUCGACAAGAACGCUUUGAUCCAAGAUAACGGGUAGCGCGUCCAACGCAACCCAGUCCUGCUGCACAGUAGCGUCUGGAUUGCGCACCACCACUUCACCACCAGGGGUGAGGUACGCGUUCGCAGUGGCCACCGUUCCACGAUCGGCCGUCGACACAGUCGCUUCACUCGAAGCGCUCUUGGCGAACACAAAUGUAUCACUCGUAUUGACUAAGUUGCCAUUGACCGCGUACAUCGGACGUUUUGCCGUACGUACGGCACCGCCAAUAGAUGACAGUAGAGCGUCUUGGCUCGCCACGGUCAGCAGCUGGUAGGCAGGUGUAGGGCUCUUGCGCACUGGCACAGUGACCGUAAUGUCAAGAACUAUAGGGCUCGAGCCCCCGCCUUCAGCUGCUGCUGCCAUCGCAUUGUGCUGCUGCAGAGCGCUCGUGUUCUCUAGAAGGUAGCUCCUGUCGGAUGCGCACGAAGAGAUUUCCAAGACGCCUUCGUGGAGCCAGAACACUCCGCCCCCGCGACUGGUGGCAGCGUUGUCUAUGGGCGGGCAAUCGGGGGGGCCACAAAAGCGGGUCACGUAACCGAGGACGUGGCCCUUAGGCGUAGUGCGCAAGAUGCUCGACCAUUAAAUGCCGAUGGCAAGGAUGCAAAAGGAUUCUGUUCAGAGGUCAUCCGAUGACCUCUGAAGCGAGGGAUUUGGAAGCGAGGGAUUUGGCUGUCACAGCCGGGAGUCCCGGCACCUUUUGCUGGCGUUCCUGAGCCCCACCUACUACAUUUACACACACACGACCUCGGUUCGUCCUCACCAGUCAUGUUCAACAUCUCGAGGGCGACACGAUAGCAGCCCGCCUGGUCGAUGCAGUCCAGACCUUCCGCGAUGAAGAUGCCCGCACCGUCCUUGGCCGUGUUACGAAUCAUGUCCGACUCAGCCACCUGUCGCAAAGGUACGCUCGUCACAUGGAGCUUUGAGCGCCCCGACGUACAUGGACUCGUGGUUCGACGGCUGAUGGCUGCACCCACCUACCCAUAAUAAGGGCAACUCUGCCCGCAGUAUAGCCCUGCUAGGCUGUCUGCCCUUAGAGCGCAGUAAAACUAGGGGUUCAUAUGCAGACGCGGCACCUAAGGGGGUGCGGCGGGGCCGUCGAAGCAACUCGGACCAACACAAAAAACACCAAAUUGCAAAAUGUCCCCCAACGACACGUUUGUGCUACCCAAUCCUUAAGUGUUGCAGGUAGAAAUGCACAUCAAUCACACAUAGCACACCUAUCCACGGCGAUCACGACAUGUGCAAGUUUAUACAUGCCUUGAUUGCCUUGCCCGCUUGCCCGACGACGCAGAUGGCGCCGCCGCCACCGUUAUAGCAGGGAAGCGCCUUCGCUAGUGCGUGGUCUUUCUCGCGCCCGUACAGCCCAGUGUAGUUGGCAGCCAAGGGUGGCACCACGGCUUUGUUUGCCGCGAAACGGCAGUUCAAGAGGUUGACCUUUGGAAACCGUAUUACGGUACAAGGGGGAGUCGGCGCUCAUCAGUCCGAAAUGCAGUGCGAACAGCAUAUGACAUAUUGCAGGUUUCUUGCAGGCGAGUCAACAUUGGCUGACGUCGUUCGAUGGGCUUGCAGCAAAAACGGCUCCGAGUGUAGGGCUCCGAGGGAGCAUCAUGAGGACAACGAAGUAGGAGAUAGAUAUAUUACAUUGCCGCUGUACGUACCUGACCAUUUCCUUCCAUGUACACUGCGCCACCGCCGUUGGCGGUGUUGUAGAGGAAUAGGAUUGCAGGAUGAUCCUUAUACCGGAGCGACUCCGCCGUCUCGAUGGGGGUCCUGGUAACAGGAUCCACGACAGGUCGUUUCUGACCACCCACUAUCUGCGUCUCGACCUGUCUCAGGGUCAGCUCGAAGGUUGCGGACUCUGUGUCGAAUAGGUAAAGCGCGCCGCCUAUGAGCGCCGUAUUGUUGGAAAAGAGAACGCGGUACGGCAGCACUGGCUUGCCUGCUGCCAGGAUCUCCAGACCAGCCGACAAGGUAACCUCGGGUGCGACCGGUGCGAGGUUGAGGUCCGCCAGUAAAGUUUUGUAGGAAGGGAAAUAACCCUGCACGGAAAAUCCCGGAGACGAAAGCACAGCGACCGCGCCGCCUGCGCGGGGAGCAGGCAGGGGACAUCACAUCAUAUACAGCGCGGCGUCACAGCAGCUUGCGGGGCAAUACAGCUCAUCGCAUACAAGCAAGAAGCAACCUAUGCGGUAACCAAAGGCUCCGGUGCCCCAUGUUGUAAUGAACACCAAGCAACCGAGAGUUAAAUGCAGCUUCCGGCCCCUCUUUUGGGGGGCUCAGCCUCCAAUAAUAAUUGGGGGUACUGCUAUUAUACCUGUCUCACAUGGUCCCACAUGGUCUCACAACUCAAGGUGUAACACACACACGUACACACACACAUACACACACGUACACACACACGUACACACACACGUACACACACACACACGUACACACACACGUACACACACACGUACACACACACGUACACACACACACGUACACACACACGUACACACACACACACGUACACACACGCACGUACACACACGCACGUACACAGACAUGGAAAUUGUGCAUGUGCCGGGCCGUGCCAGCUGCUGCUUCGCAGCUUACCGAAUAAGGCGCUGUUCCCGACGAAUUCGGUGGAAGGAAAGAGCGUGAUGGAGGAAUAAAACGCGGACACAGCGCCACCAUAGCCGGGGUCGAUGAAGCCCAGGCUCGGAGCGCCCUCCCCGGAGGCCGCCUGCCAUCCCCUGGGAUCCACAACGGUGUUGUUGAUAAAGUGGCACGCAUCAAUGCCUGUCGCCUGAGAAAUUCUGCGGCCACAUACAGCAAGGCAGCACAGCGAGAAAGGCGACUUUGCGGAAGAGAUUCCGACUACAGGCCAUCAUGGCAUGCAGGGUACGGCAACAGCAAUGCUAAGCCGAGACGCAUGAGGAUAUCAGCCGAUAAACCCCUACAUUUGCUUUACGGAGUGAGAUUUAAAAUGCUUGUCCACGCUUCACUAGGGUUUACGGAAGCUGUUUGUCCUUCGCCAUACGGGGCACACACGGUUGGGAAGCCUGUUGGCGAAUCCCCCAGUGGUUGUGGGCUUCUGAGCCUUCCCUUUGGGUUCGCUUACUGCUGUCGAGGUGACUUGCGUUGUGGGUUUGGGGGAUGUCUGGGCUGCGUGGUCGUCAAAGGUGCAGUAAUGCGCGGCCCGCUGGCCCGCUGGCUCUACGCUCUGUGAGUCUGGAGCCCACUGUAACCACACCCACACACACAGUUGGCCUUCCUGCAGCCCUCACACAUGUCCACACACGCACCGUGACAGAGCGAUCGCGCCUCCCAUGAUGGCAGCGUUGGUGUCAAAUGUGCACGAUUCCAGAUUGAUUUGGUUGCUAUCGACGACUCGAAGUGCGCCUCCAGCAUGGCCCUUCACCUGCGAAACCCCAUCAACAAAAUCAUCGCCACCGACACCGACGCAACCAACACCGCAGGCGGCAGCAGCAGCAGCAACAGCAACAGCAACAGCAGCAACAGCAGCAGCAGCAGCAAACACCAAUCUCAACACGACGGCGGCUCAAACGUAGCCGCUGAUUCCUCUUGGCACUUGUCGGAGGUGGCCAGUGGCCCGGCGUUAUCCCCAAGCCCAACUGCCCGGGAGCUUUGCGUGCUGCCCUUAAUGGCCACUGCUUUAGCAGACACCUGCCAAACCCCCAAUCACUUCGCUCCCCUGCCUACCGUGUUCCUAGUGAAGGUGGACCCGGCGCCUGACAGGGCGGCAUUAUCAGCGAAAACAGCACCUGCAACGGGAAUUUGCAUGAGCGUACAAUAUUGGAAUCGCAUACGAGUACGGACAAAGGUCUUCACCUUUGGUUCCCUGUAACAGAGGCCUUAGCAACCCCUUGCUUUUACGACACCGAAAGCCCUGCAGGCUCAGAGGGAUAUAUAACCUUAUUGCAUCCCGCCUGCUGGCUUACCCCCUCCAAAUUGGUCAACGACAGCGACGCCUCGCGGCUUGGGGUUAACGAGCGCCUCGUUGUCAGCAAAGUUGCAAUUUUUAAUGUACCAGGCGAUGCUGUUUGCGUUGGUGUUUCCCAGGUUGUGAGCGGAGAUAGCACCGCCGUUGCGACCUGCAAAGCGAACACAGCGAGCAGAAACGAUCAUAUGCUUACGCAGGCAUAGUAUUGUUUCGCCCUUUAGCAUGAUUAGACUAAAUUACGCACCAGCUGUGUUGCCCGUGAAGUUUGAGUCCUGGAUUGUUGACUCCAGGCCGCUUGCCGAGAUUUGCAGCCAGAUUGCACCUCCGUCGAACGACUCCGCUAUGUUGCUUUCAAACCUGCGCGCAAGGCACAGGGACGAUGAAACAGACCAAAAAGCUUUAUAAUAUUUCUCAUGGUGUUAAAGUGUCAAAGCAAGUGUAGAGCAAGUGUAGUGCUUUCUCGCCUGUCAGUUGGCCUGGCGUUAAAUAACCCAAACCCAUCGCAAAAAGGUGUAAUUCUCUCAGCUGGUAUGGCAGGAACUUCAUCAGGUGAGCUGAACUUGACUAACAUGUUUCUGCACUGCAGGCGUCCUGGUCUGCAUGCGGUAGACCGGAUCGGGAUCCAGACAUCCACGCCAUCAAGGCCUACCUGCCGCUGUCCACUGCGAGCUUCCCGAAGAAUCUCAGGUACACGGCGCCUCCCCCGACAGUCGCGGAAUUCCGCGUGAAGUUUGUGGCGCUGAUGCUGAAGCCACCGUUGCCGAUGCCUUCCCCAUACAGCCCUGCGCCACCUGCAAAUGCAAAUCAACGCAUCUCUAGAUAUCACGUAAUUAAGAGGCUCGGCCUGGAGGUAGCGGAGAAGAAGCAAAACAACAGCUCUGGAACAAGGUCCGCGAUGAUGUUCGUGUGCAUCAAUUAUUGUGGCGCCGGGUGAGGACAUCGUCGUCCUUCCCCCUCGCGUGGGCUCGCCGCGUCUGCGCACGAUGUGCCUGGCCUCCCAGACCUCCGAAAGAAACCUAGUCGCAACUAGGAGGGCCUCGGCCAUAACAGUUAGCAUAUCUUAGGAAGGUGCAGUGGGGUGGGGUGGCGGGCAUGACGAGCCAUCGAAUGUCCCUUUAGUGCCAUGCUACCUAACAAACAGCCCAAACAUUAUAAUUAAAAUAAUUACAAUAAUUAUACUUAUAAUAAUAAUAAUAAUUAAUAAUAUAUAAUAAUAAUAAUAUAUAAUAAUAAUAAUAUAUAAUAAUAAUGAUAUAUAAUGGUGUAUGUUACCAUACAAUGUAAGAUACCACACGGACCGCAAGACGGCGCGAAGGGCUGCCCUGCAAAGCUUUUGGAAGGGCACCCCUGGCCAGAAGAAAGGCGGCCUGCUGUCUCUUUAAUUGUACGACAAAUGUCCGCCAAGAUACGUGGCUCAUGCGCCAGGGCACCAUCCCGCACGGGGAUGUCCGUACAGCGGUACAGUCUCAAUUUACGCGAAUAAGCAAAAAGGUGCGAUAUUACGGCGGCAGCUUUUGCCCUGGUUCUGGCAGUUGGAAAGUGAGGGACUGAGAGCCCGGAGCGUCCACACGCAGCAAGUUCACGUCUGCAACGGCCGACUGAUCGCGUGACGCGAUUAGCGGGGCAACCGUCAAGAGCAGCAACUACCUGGCUCGUGUAAUGCAACCAACCUACCAACGGCGUUAUCGCUGAUGUCGCUCUCUUCUUUCGCAUAAGUGAGCUUGUUGCCAUCGAACUCGCAGUCCUUCACGACGACCUGAUAGACGUUGCUGCAGUACAAGCCGCCAUUCAAGUUCCCUGUGAACCUGCACACAUACACGCAAUAGCGCAGUGCUCACGCUGCGUUCACCCCUUCGCCCCGUGCAACGCUUUUGCCAUGUUUUGCCCACACGGCUUGGAUGGCAUAGACAGCAUCUCAGGAAGAGUAACUCUUGCUUUUUCCGUUCCAUCGCAAACGUCACCGGCGCAUAUUGGUGGCCUAUCAAUAAUGGGAUGGAUCAGCACACCGAUGAUGGAUGGGGAUGGGGAUGGGGAUGGGCUGCAACGCCACUCAUGCACACAACAUUCUCAUGUGCGUCCUGAGGCCGCGAAGAUAGUAUCAAAGGGCUAUCCGGGCCCUCCGCCGCCUGUUCCGUUGGGCGAGUACAUCUCGGGAGUAGGGACUCUCGCCUCCUCGUGUUCGUGGCGCUCUCGCUUGACGGGCCCUCCUCUUUGCGGAUCGUCCUCUAGGACUGAGCGCGAGACUGGCCCACCUGGUUCGCUGCACCGUGACACUGAAGGCUGCGGAAAUUCGCAAAGCUCUCGCACCCGUUCCGCACUCGGCGCCCGGCUGAGACCUGCAGUCGCAGUGGUGGGUCGGGCGUGAUUAUUUUUAGUUAAGUUGUUGCGGCGAUGUUGGGUAUGAGUGGAGGCAGGGGCGAGCCCAAGGACUGGGGCUGAGGUGAGUUCAGAGGCGAGUGAGAUGGCUGGAUGCGUAGAUGCAUGACUGAUGAUGAACGGUGCUUGCCAAGUAGGGCUGCGAGCUCAGGAGCCGCCCUGCUCCUAAGGACUGACUUUAGUUGCAGCAUAGUUGAAGAAGCCUUGUUUACAGCGAAAUUAAAACUAGUUUUGUUCCAAAACGUCUGUUACCUAAUGUGAAAAUGUGAACACCCUUGGCCGUCCCGCUCGAACACCCUCAGGGAUAUUUAGAUGUUAUUCAAUGGUCCGACGUCUCAAUACUCGAAUCUGCUGGCCCCGGAAAUAAAACGCUCAUGCGGCACCACUUACAGCUCGCAGGUGUUAUCCGCGAAGGUUGUAUCCGCCACGGCCGCCUCAGUCCGGCCCGGCUGCCCAUCCGGGUUGGUGAGGGAAGGGUCGUCCAAUGCGCGGAUGUACAGGACACCCGUGGUGAUGGCAGCGUUGCCUGCAGUCAGCGCGCCAUGUCACGCCAUGUCAUGCCACACUACGUAAACCAGGCCCGGGAAGCAGGUAGAGCACUUUCGCCCCGACGGCUGAACGUUAACCGGGGAGGGCGGCUGCCAAGCUUGGUGGAUGCAUAUGCAUGUACAUGGCAGUGUGCUGCCCAUAUAGAGCAGGUAAUGACUUAAACAGACCCGUACAGACUGGCUCCGAAACCCUCCGGGCUCAUCCUUGACGAGGCAAGAAUUGAUAGUUAUUACCCUAAUAGCAGGCAGGGUGUCCUCGGCUGGCCGGCCCGGUACUGCGGAUACACCCCCUAUGCAUCAUGCGCGUUGGUAAAGGAUGUCAUAUCUGCUACAAACUGCUGUUUCACAGGGCCUGUUCGCAACCCUCUUUGGCGAAUUGAGCCUCCAUUAUCGCGCUCUGGGGCGUUAUCUGUAUGUAUGUGUGUGUACACUACAUCUUGAGUUGCGUCGCCUCCAAAGGUGUAACGGACCCACACACACGCGCCAUGAAGAGGCCCAACGUGCGUGUGGGUGGGGAUUAUAGGAGCAAGCCUGCAUACUUUGGAAAGUGCAGUUGCGGACGGUGGCCGUGUUGGGUACUUCAGUGCCAAGAGGCGUCAUCUGGAUCUUCACAGCAUGCGAUGUAUCUGCACCAGCGCCAGCGUCGACCAGCAGUGCGUAGCUCAUAUAGUCCAGGGACGGGUUGCCAAGUAUGUUGCCUGCAACAACAGAAAACAGCAGAAGCGAAAAGCUCUGUGUUAGGAUCUGCGGAAGGUUAACCGUGCCCAUGGUACCACAUCAGUCCGUCAUGAAGCAUUGAUACGGCAGCACACAGCCCCCCUGGCUGUCCAUACGAACCGACUGAAGACUCGAGGCCCUGGGAUCACAAGGGCCUGGCACAAGGCUGGUGACAAACAAUGCCUCGUACCUCGGAAUGUGCUCCCAUCGAUCAGUGCGGCGUCCCGAACCUCAUCAAGCCACACGGCGCCGGUGCUGUCCGUCACCUGUGGCCUCGAACAAAGCAGAUAAAAAGCGCAUCACCGUAGCCCUGCUUGCUCAGGUCGUGCUCUCGCACAUUCACCGCACAGGGCAGCAGCUUAAGUCCUUAAACGCCCCCAAGAAACCUGUACCAGCUAAACACCGGCGCGCCUCUCCGGUGAAACGCACCACACGUAAGCUCGUGUUCCGUAUGUGUUUCCCCGUGCUCGCAGUUGCCGAAUGAAAGCGCUAUACUGGGAAACAGGACCAGGCUGCCGUGGAACCCGCAGCGUGAGCAUCAGUCCGUUAUGGCUAGUCCAGGCAAACGCGGGUAAAUGUAACCCAACCACCCCAGCAUUCCCCAGCCACGACCCAAGACGCACCGAGCAGUCAAAAAUUUCCACCUUCCGCGCCCACCGUAGCCAAAUUGCGGGCCAGCCGCUGACGUGGCUUAUGACACUCAGCCCAGACAUGUAGAAGUCGGCGCUGUGGCGGGGCGGGCCACCAGACCACGUGCCGUUCCCGCCCGCCAUUGCCAUGAAAUCUGCAGGGCGCGGGACCCGUAGGUGGAUAGGUGCGGGCCAAGCAAGUGCAAGGUGCUUUUUCUUGUUUCGGUUACGAAGAGUAGACAACAAUCUCUUGAACGGGCGGCGGGUGGUUAGAACUCGCACCCGGGAAGAACUUUCCAUGUAUCGUCUCGAGGUUACGUUCGAUGUGAGGAAUAGGGGGACAUACCUUCACCCGUGGCCGCUACCCGGUGAAACCCUGGCCUUCCCCGGUAUUUCGGAGCACUCUCAUCUAGUGACCCUAGACAACUUGUCAGUGGUUCGCUCAGGUUUCGCAUCCACCACUGACAUCCAACGGAAUCUGCGAGAUCGACGGCCGCCUGAUUCCAUUCCUGGUCAGCUCGCAAAUUUACUUUACACCAGAGUCACCACCCUCCAUCGACUAGGGACUCUUAAUCAUACACCAUCAUAAGAUGUUUUGACCACGACAGGUUUCGAUCCCGAGAUCGCCCGGGGGCAAUGGUCGUGCCUUACCAAUAGUGCCUAAUCUGUAUGAAUGUACCUCUGUCACGUGGCGGCGUGUGACUACCGUGUUCUUCGUACAGCUCAUUCAGGUAAAAGUGGGGGGUGUAGGAGAAAGUAGAUUUGGGCUAACAGAAAAAAGCUCGGCCAAGAAAUAAACGAGACCAGAAAAAGGAUGAUGAUCAGAACACCAACGCCGCAACGCAGGCAAACGGGUCAUGUGCUACGGCGGCUCCUUAAGGAUUUGCUCACAUCUUCUAACUUAUAUCGUUCGCUGACAGAACCCCUGGACAUCGGGGUGCACCCCUCACAGGAAGGCUGGAGAAGAGCUGCAUGCAGCUCGCACCUGUGGCUGUGCUCAUCACUGCCGAGCCAUCGUUGCCGGUAAAGCUGCCGCCUGUUAUCUUCACACGCAUCAUCGCCCGGUACGCCGAUGGCAACACACCAGGCGUCGGGGAGCCCCGCUGGUGCAGCACCACGGCCCCCAACGUGCGACCGGUCACUGGGGCGCAUUCAAGCAUCGCCUUUUCCGCAGCUUUCGCCCUCUGGUUGCCCGGCGCCAAGGCGGCCUGUAGACCGUUAACCCCAUCCGGGUGAUAGCCCCGGCAGAGGACGCAGUCAGUUGUCGCUCGCACAAUGUGCCCAACUUGACACAGGUCAUCGGGAGCACACAGAGUGACAAAGAGGACAACAGGGAGUGCAGCAGGCACUAAGGAAGGUUACGGCGGCUUGGUACUAACCAGGAAAUGCCCCGACCACCCGGCGACCCCCCGCAUCACGGCAUGGCACGCUUUCCCCUUCCACCUCCUUCCACCGAUGACCUGGACAUCGUGUGUGUGUGUGUGUAUAUGUGUGUGUUGCAUAUGUGUGUUCGUGUUACAAACUACAAUCGACGGGCAUUGCCGGCCGUCGCCACCGCCAGCCUGGACGAAGAAGGGUCCAUACCUGCUCCUUGAAGGCCUUCGCAAGUGGGUAGGUGUACGUGAGCCAAGGCAAGUGGCUCAGCAUCUGCGCGACACCAACGAGGUCAUAGUCAUAGUUUAAGCUUGCGCAAAAGUCAACUGCUCCUCCAGAGGGCUGUUGCGGCGGUGCAGCUGCUUCUGCAUCUUCUUCUCCUGCUUCUGCAGCACCGGUGGCAUCUGGUUGGCUCUGCUGCUCUCCUUGGUCCGAGCUGCCUGGACUGCCAACCGCUGCUGAUUCGAUUGGCGCAGCCGCGUCGGUCGUGCUUCCAUAGAGAGGUGCGACACUUUGGAACGCGGCCUCGGUAGUACCCAUUGCCGCGGACAUCACUGACCCGUCCAUUGGUGGUGCCGGCUGAUCCUGAGCUUCUGUGGGCGCCAGCAGCGCCUGCUGCCACAGGAGCUUGUUGUUGGUGAGAUCGGUGUUGUCCAGGCUCACGUCACAGGCUGCUGCGCCAUCGCACAACACGUACAGGGCUCCAGUCGCAACGCCUGCAUGCACACAGGGCGGCCAGUCACACAGCCGGAGACCAGAAGGCGAGGGAGGAAACCACACGGCCCGUAAGCGACCCUCCUCGUGUAGCGGCGUCAUGAGGCCUAAGGUAAACCGGAAGCGCCUUGGUAAAGGCAUGUGUACCCGUCCUUAAUGUUAGAGUCACAAACACCAUUUGAAGCAAAGCGUCAGGCCACCAGCCAAACCAUCAAUGUAUUUUCACAAUAUGCAAGCAGCACUAACAACACUGCCAGGCGAGCGCACCUGUAUUGUUGGCAAAGGUCGUAUCCGCAAGAGUGAUGUUGCAACCCUGCCUCCGGCACACAACGGCCACAACCGUCUCCAUAUCAUCGGCCCAGGGCCCCGUCUGCACCGAAUCCGCAUUGUGCACAGAUACAUGAUUAGUGAGCAGUGUAGUGCAGUUGUCGUGUUGAGCAGUCCUAAUACCACCGCACAGCAUAGCGCCACGACACCACACCACACCACACCACACCACGUUGAAACGCUUUACAACCAAUCCGACAAAGGAGAAGCGGGUGAUGAGCUGACGGUCAGCCAUCGCAGCAAGGAGCAGCAUCAGCAUCGGCACCUGCAGAAAGGGCAAAGACUACCCUACCUGCACCCCAGGAUGCUUGAGCAUGGCGCGCUCCAGCAGCUGCAUUGAAUACUGGGCAUCCAGCAGCCGGCGGGCCCGAGAAGAUGAGGCACGGCUAGGCACUUCUGCGAGCAAACCCCAGGGACUCAUCCCGCCCAUUUCACCCGCGCUGAACUGGCCCACUGCUGCUAGUAAUCGCCUGUGCCGCUCAGCCGCGGGCCGCAAGGGUAGCGUGCCUCCUGGGAUGGUCGUCUGCAAUUGGCGACGGCUCCUGAGGACCCAUUGAAUGCUGCCAUCUGGGUGAACAGAAGGGGUCGUCGUAAUAUUCACUGUCAGCAACAGCAGGAGAAAAAUCAGGAACGAGGUAAAACAAGCAAGAGCUAUCGAAGCGGUAGGUGUUGCGCACGGGGUCGAGUGGUGCUCUUGUGGCAGGCAGCUUGCAGAUGUCUGGUCUGCUUAUUAUACGCGCUGGGGCUACCCCGCGCAACCACACGGCCGAGAAGUUGGGAAUGUACUUAUUUGCUUGGAUGCUCGUCGUGCCAUCGGUCGAUACGGCUCAGAUGGCUAACAUCUUCGCAUUUAUUCGAAAUGCGCGCGUAACGGGUGUGAUGGAAGAAGUUUGUAAGGACUCACGAGCCAUGACAUUGCGGGCGCGAUUUGACUAAAAGGCAAGAAGAGAGGUCCUGGGGGUUUUUAACGCAUCCCUGACACUCGAAAAACUUAUGGCUAGACCAUGCGAAGCCUAGGACAGCCACAGGACUAUCUGGGUGGGUGCGGUUUAUGCAUGGUCGAAAGGAGGUUAAGUCGCGGACUAGAGGAGAUGGGAGUGAAAGGCAGGCGGGGUUCAUGGCGCCCCUGCCAGCACGGGCGGAGGGAUGGCCCCAACGGCGCGCAUGAAUGCGGGCUCCUGCUCGUUGGACGGCUUCGUGUGGCUAAGAAGGAAACAGCCGCCGAAUUCAUGAGAUCCUCGCCUGGGAUUAUAAGAUGAAUAACAGGCCGAUAGGCCGCGCUAACUGGUCGCGAAUUGCACUGGGAACGAGGCCAACAACAGAUUCAAGUACGUCGAUCGCCCAGGGUUCGUGGGUCGCGCUUAACUGAUGUUAUUGAUACAAAGGUUAACGCAGGGGCCGAAUCCUGAAUCCAACGCUUGCGAUGCGUAACGUGCAACAGUCAAUUGCUGCGACUUAGCUUCAACAAUAGGCAAACCCUUACCCAGCGUGUCGUACAAGCGCCUGAGACGCGACUUCUGAGAGAAAGCAUUGUUUAGGAAGCGGCUAUUGCGGAUUGUCAAGCUUCCGGAAAAGUCGCCAGCAUGGACGGCGAGCGCCGCGGUAGAUGGCGUGAUGCUUGCGGGCGACUCAGGUUUCGAACCGUCGACACGACCCGAAUCCUGCAUGUGGAAAUGCAUUAAGCAGUCCAUUAAGGGCUGCGCACACUAACCAAACAGGACGUUGUGGUAUGCCAACGUACCAAUGCACGGGUAAAAUUCUGGAACACGCAGUCUUCAAUCGUGACGCUUGCAUUUAACGACGAAUCAAGUCGAAUUCCAGUGCAUCCGCAGUCCUGCAGUUGCAAGCCUGAGAGGUGCAGACGGCUCCCGCUGAACUCAAUGAGGCUCGCCAUGUCUCCCGCUCCACAUCGCAAUAUGGAUCCCGGUCCAGCGUCAUCAGACGAAGUUCCUCGUAAAGUUGCUGAUAUAGGAAUUUUCAGUGGUCUGUUGAGGACCAAGGUACGCCGAGGAAGAUUGAGCACAACCGAACUAAUGCCACUGGCUUCUGAGAAAAACUUAUAUAUUUCAUCUUCGUCAUCAACAUUGAUAAAAAAAGGUUUUGCAGGGUCGUCUGAUAGUACCCGUCGAACUGAGCUGACUCCUUGCUGCCCUGUUAGCUCUUCCUGCGCCACGCUAGUCGUCCAAAGGAAAAACGAUAUGGUAGCAAGCCACAAGGUAGCACCAAACGACCAAGACCCAAUGGCCUUCGUAAGACCCCGUCGCUGCAUCCGGGAGGGCGGUUGGAAAGGCAUUCCGUUUCCUUUCCCUUAAAUUUACCUAGGCUCCUAUUCCAUAUCUGUAUUAUUACAGAGGCUUAAAAUGUUAUGAUUGUCCACUUCCUGUAGUUGGUGCACGGUAAUAAUAGUAACAACGCUUGCAAAGCCGAGAGGAUUACGCCUAGCCAACAAUUUCGUCUGGCGUAGGUUAUCCUGUCAUCAGUGAUUCAGGCAGACAAUUGCCUCCGUCGUCGUAUGAGUGCGUAUACGGCAGCUACCCGCACAACAGUACAAAGUGAGUUCCCUAACCAAGUCCUUUGCAAAAACGUUAUAUUUGCUUCACUAUAGAUUUUUAUGUCACUUCGUGGCACUUCUGAGAGCGGGGAAGUCUGGAUUUUGUCGCUGCGAUGUGGUGCUUCAUACGCAUUACUUUAAGACUACAUAUGCAUCCGUAACUAGAAUGUAUUACUCGAUAUAAAGAAGUAGGUCUUGCAAUAUGUCCGCUGAGCAGUUCGACUGCCAGCGUCAUUUUUCGUAUGACAACCGUAGCCAACACCAAAGAACGGAUGGGGAGUGUAUGCUGUAUGAUAUGUUCAAGAAAUCUCUUCAAAGGUUCAUUUGAACUGAACGCUGUGGCCAUUAUGGUUACGUACGAUUUUGCGACGCUACUAACAGCAAGGUCACUCAUGGACAAAUUGCUCGUCAGGAAGUCCAAGGGGUUGCAGCAAAUUCAUACCAAAGCUUUUUUUAUAUUCUUUGCAGAGAGCUAUCAUCUCUGUCAUAGGCGGCGUUGCUAUGUUAUUAUGUGCACCGAGCGGCACUGAACCUCCCACGCCAGUGUCAGAUCCCUUUGUGAUUUUGGGGAAUUUUUGUAGGCUUCAGAUUCCUACCUUGCGGCAGUUCUAAGCUGCUGAACCCAUUGGGGUAUGGCUAGGUAACAAGGCUCGGGAACGCUGCUGCAGCGGUCGUAACUUCAGAUAACUUCUUAGGUCCGUUUUGCAGGAAUACCUUCAUCAAACUGGUUUGAUAUUAAGAAGAAGUUAACUCCCCCUAUACUAUAAGUCACUUGCAAAGACGUCUUUCGAUGCACUACAUUUUAAGGUGGGAGUAUUUUCCUUCCUUUUGCGUCUCCUUGCAUCCCUGGCCGCCUGAGUAUACAGGCGCAUCACAAUAGGACAAUCCGACCAUCGCUAUGUCCAUGGAAAAACAAAGCAUCUACAAGAUAGCGCCUCGUUCAUGGUCAAAAUGGAAAGGCAAUAUGGUAGCGUUUCAUUGUAAAAGUUUCAACGAUGCACACGGAUUGGCCCGAGUUGAUCUUGACGUCUAUUUUCUGCAUACGCGGCGAUUGCAGCGCAAGCCCAGAGUCGACUAUUUGCAUCUUCCUGCUUUUUUUGUCGUAGUUGGGAUCCUAAUCGAGCCUGUACAGCCAUAUAUUCCGCAAAGUAUAGCCGCUCAUGGCAGCCCACGUGCGAAUCGAAGCUACUCGACUGGGAGCAUCUGGGCUCUACCAAUGCUACACAGAAAAGGGUCCUAAAACGGCGCACAGGAGAAAACGGCGCGUUGCAUCGGCUGCGGCACAUCUACACGAUGGCGACCUCGUUCUUAAGGGACUCAGCAUGCGCACCGUUGUGACUGAGGCGCCCACCCUGGCAUUGGCCAGGUACCUCUCGGAAAUCUGGGAGGCCAGGCGCGUCGCGCUGAGGCGCUUCGCUUCGCCCUGAAGCGGACGAGAGAGGAGGAGGAUGGCCCCCCGCGUACCCGCAUCAAUACCAAUAUAACGUCCAUGGGCCCCCCGGCUUUUAAGGACAACCCCGCACAUGCGUGCGGAACUUGUAACUUGUAACUCUACAGCCCAAUUCACAAUGGUUCUUGCCAAUAGCUCGUCGUAGCAUAUGCAAUUCGCUGCGUUAUAUUACAUGAGCUGGCCGGGCUUGCUCUAUCCUGUCCUGACCUAACGGCAAGACCGCCGAAGCACCUUCCAACACACGGGAGAGGGACUAACCACACGCGCGGGACUAAUGGGGCGCCGCAGCGUCGGGGAUUGGAAACCCGUCUGAAACACUCCAAGGUAAAAAGGCAAAGCACCCAUCCGGUCUGCCUCUCCAAAAGCGCCGCGCAAGGGGCACACAUAAGCCAGGGUAUCCCCGCUUCCCAUGCACACGCUAAAGCAGUCACCAAGCGGUCCACCUGGGCGACUGGCAGGGUUCGUAUGCUAGGAAGCGCCACACACCACGCAUCACCGUCCCCGUCCCUGCUCAUCUCGAUAAGUUUCCAGGGGAAUCACGCAGGGCCUCACCGCUUUGGGCACGUAAUCCUGCAAGCCAUGAACCCAGCUCCUCUAGCCCAUGUAGUGUAGUGGACGCAUCGGCACCAGAGACCACUGAAGUAUACGUUAGCAGUUAAGGCAGAGGAAAGAAGGGCAAAAUGGCAGCACGGGUGUACCGCAAAGCUGUUCCUGUCUGCCUCCUUGCUGGGGCGCGGCCAUCUACCUGCACGCCAGACGCACUUAAGACCAGCCGUCGCCCGUGCUGUCUAGUCACCUUGAGUUUAAUGAGGACAUUAUCAGCUACGGGUGAGGCUUCUCCUUGCCUUGGCCAGCGAUCUCUAGCAUGCUUGGCCGAUCUAGUGUUUGUUGUCCCUGAUACGUAAUUUUGUGGUGGGCACUUGUAAGCUUUUGAGCUGCUUUCGUGGUAGUACACAUUGAUGAGCCGUUCAGAUCCUCUGUUACGGUACCUGAAGUCGCGAACACAACAGCAAGUUCAAUGGCUGAGCGGUUUCCAGCUACGCGGUAUUGAUGGCCUGUUGCUGUGGGCCAGAUCCUCCUACUACAUGUUCCAUAUUAGAAUGGGGCGAGCGCACCCGGGCCGCUCUGGAUGAACACUGUCGUUCACGUUACCGUGAGAUCGGCAAUUGGAUCGCUUGGGAGCUGGGGGCCAGGCUGCAUCGUUGAAACUUGACGUGGCUGAUGGGGACGAAAGGCGCAGAAGCAGCGCACAUGACCGAAUUUCAAACAUCAAAACCCAAGCGCUCUGGUCCGGAUGCUCGCUCGCCCUUAACUUCAUCAAUAGGACGACACCACCCAUGGGUCGUCACCACGCGCAAGAGGUUUCAGUGCUUCCCUUGUUCAUCAGAAAGAUGACGCGCAACAUCAAAGAUGUGUUGCAAAGGAGAACACGCAGUGCUCGUGUAAAGUAGUGAAACCCCGCUGCAUCACACACAGCAGCCAGGAAGUGCGUCCCACAUCCGAUCACCUGCUAUGUGGGAAGUGCGACAGCUAUUCCAGCCUGUGCACACCAGCCUAAAGCUACCCGGACACAUUUACCGCAUACACCUCGUGGCCCCGUGUGUCGCUCAGCGGAUGGGCCUUCCUGGCAUCGUUCCGACAUCAAAUGCCAUGCAUCAAUGCUCAGCGGCGGUACGUCUUCAACUUCCUGAGAGAGCCUUGAGUAGCAGGAACAAUGGAAUGUCCCAGCCCUGCCCUAACAUGUCUUGGCCCUUUACCACCAUCACAACGCCGGACGCAAGGCCGGAAACAGGGCAGUGACGGACAAAUAACGCGACGUUCCUUACGUCCUGACCAGCUGCUGCCUACCCUCAGCUCGACACGCAUUCCAUUGAACUACUUCCACUUCUGGUUCAAGGACGUUUGUUUCGCCAUGUACUGGAGGACAACAGCUCCACCGGCCAACCCGAGGAGGGCUGCAAGCAGUAACGCGUAGUUGAAGUCGUCCUCCAAAGAAUCAAAGCCCUUGGCCGGAGCCAGCCGCGUGUAGAACAUAUCGACUCCGUGCACGAAGAGGAGGCAGGUGGACUCGAGCCUCGUGGGCUCCACGUUGACACCCCUGAUGCCGAGCACUUGCUUAUCCAAGGUGGUGAAGCUUAACGGCGACAGCGGAAGGGUGUCCUACGGAAGCAUCAGCACACGCACAUGUGAAGCUGCAGUAAUCAGUAAAACGGAACCAUGGCCAGCAUUGCUCAACGCCUUGCCCAACUUAGGGUUCGUACAGAGAUGGGCGGGUAACAAAUCGUUGAAAGGGCGCGUAACAGAUCGUCAGGCCGGUGUGUGAUAUUGUAGGAGCGGCGAAGGGAAAAAGGGUUGCAAUGCGUUCGCGCCCUACCUGAUACGGAACGAGGCCUUCCUCCGCUUCAUCCUGACUCAGCUUUUGCUUCUUUGGCCGGCGAGGGUCCACCCAUCGCUUAUCCAGCGCGUACACCUGUACACACAUACGUACAUACAUGCACACGCCUCAAUACUGCAAACAAUUGCGUGUCCGAACACACCAGGCCUUAAGGAUUAGUCAGCAGAAAGUACGCAAAAAGGAGCGCGUGCUGUGCACCGCCGCACACAUCGCGUGCUUACUCCUCAACAUGAAGCCCCCCCGGUGGUGUGACUCGCCUGAUCCGUGUUCGUGACGAGCAGGAGCUGCUUGGCAGUAAUUCCCUGCUCAGUUCGCGUGACAGCUGCAGCAGUAGGCACCAAGCGGGAAAAGAACGACUGGGUCUGGACCUCCACGGGCGUUGGGUUGAAGGAUGACACGGGCCGGGUGCUGUUGGGGUUGAAAAGGUAGUCCAGCACGCUAAACUCGCGGCCUGCUGUGGCGUCGUAGAGCUCCAUCGACGUCGCCACAUACCUGCGGAGCUCAACAGUUAGCAAAGAAAAUAGAGACUACAUCACCGUGCAGGGUGACGAUAGGCCGUCGGUGACUUAUAAUGUCGCUGAACAACCCGAGGGACACAACAUUCCUUUGGGAGUUGAUACCGCAUACCGGUUCACUCGCCAGCUACCAUUGGGGCGGCAGCUAUGAUGCAGUAUAGGAAAAUGGGAGGGGACGUGAAAGUGGGGCAGGUGGCAGCUUGAGAACAAGCUGCUUGGGAUGGAGCUUAAAGCCUGCAGAUGCGAUGCCGCGCGUUUGGGACGCCAGUCAAAAACUAUCAUUUCCCGUUGCAGGGCAGCAUUCGCGUACCGGCCAUUGAUGAAAUUGAAUUAUAACAACAGCCUAAAUGGAUUUUCAUCAGCGCGCAGAAACGCAGCGCGGAGCUCUCACAGAGCCAUCGAGCUGAAAAAAUGAUGAAUACAAGGCGAGCAGCUGGCGUGUUCCUUCACGCAUCGCAUGUUCCCUGCCACAACGACGCACCUUCCCGACUCGAUGUCUCGGAAGAAAUAUAGCACCAUAUUCUCCGUCAAGACCGCCGUCACGGGACCCCGUGCUCCCGGGUGGGACUGCCGGUGCAGGACACGGCCCGUCACCGUAUCGACCAGGUGCACCGUAACCUCACUGGAAAGGCCGUCGUCAUUGGCUGACCCAGAGCCCGCCAGCGCACCAUCCGCUGGGCCGGUGGCUACGAAGAGCAAGUUGGGGUUGAGGUACUUGUACUUGAUGGUCCGGUCCGAAAGCACCUGGCAUGUGCACACAUGCGGCAAUUGUUAUUGACGAUAAGCCCGUUGCCGUGCUGCAUGCCAUUGGAACUGCACGCUACGACGCGCAUGAAGGAAAGCACACCUAUGGACGUUAUUUAGCACUGCGAGGCGCCGCGACUACACAGAAAGCAUAGCGGUGCGCUGCCAUCACACAAGGAAGGAUUAGCAAAGAACAGGCACACAGUGAUGCGCGCUCGUAGGUUACGCAACCGGAGGUAUGCCUUCUCACACCACCAUCAUCACCAUCACCACAAAGGAGUGACCGUUGCAGUGCGUUGGGAUUACGCACCGUAACGUGCCGUAAAAACCGUCGUACCCCGUCCUCACCUUCACGGACGAUUGGAUGGGCUCCGUGGGGUCCCUGAACGCAAUUGCCAAGAUGCUGUCCGGGAAGUUUACCUGCCAUGAUUGCACGGCAGGUACCUGAGCUGAGCCAUCAGACAUCGAGGCCAAGCGGUAGCCUGUGAGCGUCAUGGGCUCCUGGCCCUGCGUGAAGAAAUGUAGCGACCAUUCCGAAGCCGCUACGUGCCGCCGGCUUGCCGCUGAAUCGGGUAGCAGGUGCAGCACAGGCGCGCCGUCAGCGGCCCCCUCAGCAGCCUUCUCCACGAGCAGGUACACGCUCUGAACGGCGGACCCCUCGUGCAUGGGCGCGUGCAGGGGAACGACCUUGGCGACGCCGUAGGCCAAGGGCAUGUGGAAGAGCUGCUCGCCGGUGUGCGCAUUCAGAACGGCCACGUAGGCACCAGGCUGCGCCUCCCGCAGCAGCAGCACCUCCGGAGAGUGCUGAAUGUCGUGGUAGCCGCGCCAUGGCAGCAAGCGGGUCGGCAUGGACUGGCUGUCGAAGGACCUCGACCACAGCAGCCGGCCGUCGCCAUUGUGCAGCGCCGCCAACUUGCCUGCAGCGGGGAGCACGUAGCGGCAUAACAAAUUCAAAUCGCAGCCACAAUAGCGCUACCAGCGCCACAGCAUUUAUCUACAUUAUAUACACCGAACCUUCCUCACAGCGCGCUCAGCAGGUUGCAGCACCCGCAGGCCACGCCAGCAGCACGGCCUGCAUGCAAAGGCCAGUCGGCACGACCUACCUGAAGAGGUUAACGCCAGGAGCAGCUUCCGGAAGCCGUUCACGUCGCGAACCGGCGUGUUCUUGUCCGAGAGAGCGCUUCGAAGCUGCAGGAACUCCGCCGCCUCUGUCGGAGUGUUCAACUUGAGCUGCACCUUCGCUCCCAACACCUGGUACCUGUUGUGCCGUACAGGGUUCAUAAUAAAGUCGUCAACGGGUCCGUGCGCCUUCGCCAGUGAGGGAACCGAGUAUUACAGGUCGCCUGGUCACGUGGUAAGCCACCAGCCAUCAAGGACAGGAAACAUGAUGUAGGGGACGCCAGGUCAAUCGUAUUACCGCACAGGGGCUGGCUUGCGAAUUUAAAACCGUGCUUAAGUUGAUAAACUUUAAGAUUGUGGUAAACGCAGACCCCUUUUGGAUCUUGAUAGCCUUUCAGGACAUCGGUGCUGCGGUACACUGCGGAUGCAUUGACGCACAUGACGCCACAUGGCCCGGCUGCAGGUACAGGGAUGCAAGAUGCAGGCCGGCUGCAGUGCCAUGCGUGUUGUUGUAACACGCCACGCAAGGCUGAGAGCCAGAAAAAGGUGGAAAACCUAUGGGUGCACAUACUGCAUAUGGAAUGGAUUCGGCCGCACCAAGAGAUCACCACACACACACCUCAGCCGCGUCUGGAAAUCGACCUUCACUCCUCCCGCGGCCUGCAGCGCUGAGCCGUUGGCUUGCCUCGCAGGAAGGUCGACAAAGAGCGUGUCCUUGAUGGUGGACAAGCUCUCAUCGCGCGUCCACACAAUGACGCCCUGCUGGAGCAACACGGUCAGGCCGCUGCUGAAGGACACCAACGCCCUGCAUGACGUGUGUGGUUACAGGGGAAUAGGAAAAUGGUUAUUUUGUUAUGCAAAUACUGUGUCUACAGCAGUGUUUUGUGUUUUCAUAAACUCAAGGGAGGAGAGGGAAAUGCUGACGAUGGUACAUGAGCAACAGUGAGUAUCUGUAUGCAUGCAUGCAUGUAUGCAUGUAUGUAUGCAUGUAUGUAUGCAUGUAUGCAUGUAUGCAUGUAUGCAUGUAUGUAUGUAUGUAUGUAUGUAUGUAUGUAUGUAUGUAUGUAUGUAUGUAUGUAUGUAUGUGGGGUGCAGACGCACGCCAAUAACAAUAGCCCCCAGAAGGUCCUGAUACAGCGCUGUAUGCUUUCCAAGAAACCUCCCUUUGCCCGCAGACGAUACUUGGGCGGCAAGACGACGUCUACAAAGUCGACACCCUGCCAUACAGCAGGCCCCGAUCAGGUAUCCCCUCACGAACAGUGUGCCGUACUGCGACGCGUCAUGAAAGCGCUUUCCCAACAGUGCAGUACCGUACCUGUACCCCGUCGCCUUGUCCUUCUUGCGAGUGAACGUGCCGAGCACCAGCCCGGUGGGGGACAACACUGGCACCGCGCCAACCACACGUUCGCUGCUGGCAGGCGCUGGAAACGAUUCCUCCUGGAGAGUCUCGCCGCUGCUGGACUGUACAAUCGUCAGCUUCAGGCCGCCGCCUACAUAGCGAGGGGAUGCAGAGGCGGCAAAGCGAACUGCUGGCUCGAGCAUCCACACCCGCGCACGAAUGAAAGAUUGAGGUUUCUGUUAACAAAAGCCGUUCGGUCCUUGAACCCACCACCCACCAGCCGCAGACACCUCCAGGACGCCGAAGGCUGCGUCGCUGUCCGACCGGAUCUCUGAAGACACGGCGACAGCCCCCGGGAAGUACUUGACCAGCCGCAGGCCGCCGUUCGCCACAUCCACCGCAAGCAGCGCAGCGCCAGGGUUACCUGUCGGCAUGGACACGGCAAAAGCCGCCGCGACAGUCUGAGCACCUGUUCCACUCCGGUCUCCCUUCCUGGCCCCCGAAAACCCGCCCUGAUUGCUUCCUAGGGGGCCAGCGCGGACUCCUAAUGCCCGUGUCCACGCCAUAAGAUUUUCCAAAACGUACACCGCCCGCAGCUUGCAUGGUUAUCAAAGUGAUUCAGCUUAACAUGGAUCAUCGAAUCGUGUCUGUAUCUGUACAACCCGGAAAUGCUAACAGAGGCCCAUGGCCAGCUGCCAUGCAUGUGAACAUCACAUACGUGCCAACACAUGGUCAAGACCCGCCUCCUGCAUAGCCACCUAGACACAUCCAUACGGUGGCGGCUUCCAGGACUUGGGAGGCUUACUGGGGUUCGUACUGAAGAUGACGUGGCCGCUGUAGGUGCUCGCGAUUUCAAGGGAACUUUCAGGACCCGCCUGCAGCUCCGGAACCAACUCCGACAGCGACGUGCACGUCAUGUGGACGGGCGAGUCCACACCUGCCGUGUCAAAAAGCGCCGGCAAUGACCCGACAAGAGGCAGUGAAGGGAGGGAAGGCACAGCAGGUGAGCACUCCGGGCCCCCCCCCUGGCAUCGCCACAGGUACCACUAGGCACAUCCGGAAGCGUCCAGGCUGCUGUGGACUUCGCAUAACCAGCGUGCUCGAGACAUCCAGAAUCCGAGACCAACAAUCUGCUCGCCUGCUUGGGCUUUUUAGUCAUCGUACGCGAUCAUACGCAGUCGCACAGGAGCCUACACCUUCCCUUUCUCGGUAAUCAGGUGCAGCUUCUCUAUCAGGCGAUGAUUAUGGUGAGGACUGAGGAGCCGCGGUGGCGACUCCCCUUCAUGCGACGCGGACGAUGCCUAUAUUCCAAGGACAAUUGGCCUCACCCACGCCUUUUUCGAUGGCUGUUUCCCAUAUCGGCUUUCUCACCACGGAUGUCCGCAGUACAAAGCGCCAUGCCGUCGGAAGACAGCGCCGCAAGCGUGUCCGUUGAUAUCGAAAGCCUGUUCGACAAACUGAACGGCGACACAGCAUCCCGCUUGCUGCCCACUUGGCCCUUGCCAGCGUCUUUAAUAUCGACUAGAACCGCUUGCUUUGACCUGUGAGACGGGAGCAAUGCGCGCAUUGCAUUAUAUGAGGGCCCAACGGCUAACGUGGGCGCGGGCGAUAGAGCGCCGUCGUCCCUUCCCCAUUUGGUUUCCCUUUCGGGAUGACAGGGGACGAACUCACACCGUCCCUUGCCACCUCUGGUCUAGGUCCCCGUACGGUUUAGUCCCCAAGUGUUUCCGAAGGGGGACACCCUUCGGGGUUGUCCCUAAAGGGAAUGGCUUCCACUUCGAUUAUCCCGUACGGUGGCCCAAAGGGCUCCCAAAGUAACAACAGCCCUUUGAGGACCACCGCACGGGGGUAACGACCAGACAGGGAAGUGCCAGAAAGCAGGUAAAAGAAGAGAUGCAAGCGACCCCUGAUGCAGUUCACAUACUCACCCCGAGAUGACAGCCGCCGCGUAGCCACCCUGUCCCGCAACCAUGGCAACCUGACCGGAAACCCUUGACGCCGGCACGACUUGCUCGGCCCCAUGUACCGUACCGUCGGCUGGGUCCAACAGCUGCGUGCCACCAACGGGGUUGGAAAGUCAGUAUUUGAUGGUGAUGGUCGUCCUUUCGCAGGGCCUAAAGACAUGUCCGUCUAGAGAAACGCACGUGGAUGUCCUCAUGGACAGGAUCUCAUGGACGGGCUGCGUCCAUGUGGAUUCGUGAGUUGCCUCGGCAUACGUUAAAAGCACGCGUACAAGGGGGCGCCAAACCUGUCCAAAGGCUUAGAGCCCCCAAGGAAACCUGAUGACAGCCCCCAUAGUUUAACGAUCGCCAAUAAGUAGCUUCCCCUAUGCGCACGUGAGUGCGCGCCCUCCCACAGAUGUGAACCUGGCGAGGAGGCAUCCAUCUUUCCAAGGCCCGUACCCUGCAAGUUGACCCCUACCUGAAGCUCCCCGUCUUGCAACAAGAGCAUCUUUUCGGAGGAAGCAUCCGUCGAUGGGACUCCAGCUAGUGUUGGAACUGCUGUACUUGCCGCUUUGCGCUGCCAAAGCAAAUUGCCCUCCAGAUCGAAAGCCCUUAGGUAGCCAUCCAACGCUGUGACAAACGUUUGUGAUUUUGGAAGCACGACUGCAGACGGGGAGCCGUCGCUGACAUCCCCUAGCGCCUUACGCCAAGCAAGGCUGCCGUCGCGUAAGUUCAAGCAGCCGACUACUGUCUGUGCCGUGGCGACGCACACGCGUGGCUUUGUGGGAUGGAAAGAUGCACUAGAAACUAACCCGAUGUGCUGCCGGUACCAAUCAUAUGUGCCUACUUGGUCCUCAAACAUCGCCGUGGUUCCACGGACAGCCGCCAGGGCCGUUAAUAAAAACAGUAUCAUGUCUAACAUCCGUAAUUUUGUUUGAAAGCUACGUUAAAACAACUACAUGAAGGAAGUAAGAAGACAUUUUCCUAGGCAAAAUAUCAAGGCCUCUUGCUACAUACACACAAUCUCUGUCGUGCAGCUAAUUAGCAGAUGUAAAUAAAGGAUUACAUGCCGUGCAUAGCGAAAAGCAACCCAGACCCCGUUAGCCACCGUUACGCCAACGGUCACCGUUCGUUGUACACGCUCUCGUUGUCAAGACCCCGAGUCCCCGACCGCGCGGCAAGCCCAUUGCCGGCUUCAAAUCCCCCAAGAUGAUAGCCAUAAUGACUUGUCGAUCUUUGUAGUACAUUUGACUUUGGCCUUGCAAGAAUUAUCGGUGGUUGCGGCAACCGCAGUUCUAGACAUCGGGCGUCUGCAAUCAAAACCACAUUAUGGAUUAGACCUUGACAGGCCCGGGAACCCUCCUUCGCUGAUGCAAUUCCGUAAAUUAUGGACGUGUUACGCGUCUGCAUAAACAUCGGUCAGUAUGCGACGGACGGUCCUUCAUACAGCUCCACAUCCACGCUCGGCCUGUUGAUUUUGUGCCGUUUCUUCACACGAUCCGGAAAUAGUCCAACGGGAUGAUGUGCAUACUCGUGCACCAAAGUACUAUCUCAGUCAACGGGGGUGUUGGAACAGCCGGAAGCACAACACAGGAUGCAAACUCGUCACCAGGCGUGUGCCUUAGGUCAUGCGAUCGCUUGUUUACGGUGUCCUGUUAUAAAUAUCACCCAAAUGCGCAGCGGCAUGUGUGUCCGACGAUAUGCUGGUAUAAAAUACAAGAUACACAUACGAAAGUUUUGCAUCUGCGGACCGCGAGCCGAGAGAUGCACAGGACGCAUCUGCCCAGCCUGUCUAUUGAAGUCAACCCGAGAAUAAAACCAUCGCUCAGCGUCUCAGGCAAGAUACGAGCAGCAACAAGCUGCGUAAGCAUAUAGCACGUCAGCGCUGCGGCUGGCAGCUACUACUUUACUCCAAGACUUAAGUAAGGGUAGGGCUCCGGAGCGCUGCGAGAUGGCAGCGUAGCAGCUUGGCAGCAAAACGGCUUUGGAAAAUGGUGUAGCAAAAGCAACACGCACACGCUGCGAAAUGGCAGUAAACGUGCUUUGCGAAUAUAGAUCAUGUGCACAUGCACGCUGCGAAGUGGCAGCAAACCUAUUUUCGGGACGUUAGCAUGCGGCAUGUGGAUCUCGCGCGAACACGCGCGAGAAGGCAUCAAAUCCGUCCUCUCCAACGGGCUUUGUGUGAACCAUGCGUUGCGACGUGCAAUCUAUCGGUACGGAACGGUACGUAUAAGUACGUCAAAAGCGUAUAAAACAAGAACAGUGCUGGCCUUGCGUGGUUAGCGCACCCAGGCGCACUAAGACAUGCAACCUGUGCGUCAAGCAUCGUCAGAGAACCCAACCCAAAGGGGAAACCAGCUAAAAUCUCCUGAGCAUCGUCUCUAAUUGCCGUCCUCCUUGUGCUCAGCACGUUGACGCACGCUCAAGCGCUGGCUGUCAGACAGCUGCUGGCGGCUGCUUGGCGCCUUGCGGAGGUGGUCUGGUAUGCGGUGGAGGUCCCGACACAGGCGACCUGGGCGGCCGGGGUUGCCUCGGCUGGGACGGUGGCCGGCUAGGGCUGCGCGGUGUUCUAGGUAGCGUUGGGGUGCGUGGAGGUGGCUUUGGGGGCCGGGGGCUGGGCGAAGGUGGCCUUGGUAACCGGGGGCUGGGCAGCGGAGGCUUCGGAGAUCGUGGGAUAUUCGGCGGUGGUUUCGGAGGGCGAGGUGGACUUCUCGGUGGCUUCAUUGCGGCAGAGGGACUGGGCGUCUUCCUACUUUCAUUUUGCGGCACAGGGCGUGCUGGCACGGGGCUGGGUGGGUCUGGACUCUGUGGUGCAGGGCUGGGCGGCUCUGGACUGGGUGGGCCAGGGCUGGGUGGCUGCGGCGGUCCUGGGCUGGGAGGCAGUGGGUUCGGCGGGUUUGGCCAGGAUGGUGCAGGGCUGGGAGCCGCGGGGUAGGGAGACGGAGGCGCGGCUGGAGAGGGUGGUAAGGCAGGCGGCGGUCUUGGGGGUGGCAGUGGCGGCGGCGGCAGGAGCCCGAAUCCGACGCACACAGCCCUCGCCGGCGCCGUACAGGAUCCCGUGAUAUUGCUGACGUAUCCAGACACGUUCUUGCCGAGAGUGCACCCCCAGAUGGAGGUUGCGUUAAAGGGGCAGGAGACGUUCCAAAUCCAUACCGAUUGAUUGAGGCCAGGAUCGCCGUACAGCCGAGGCCGGCAGUUGAUGUUACUGCCGCAGAUGAGACUCGAACCCGGGUUGGCGAGGUUAUUCACGUAGCCACCGGAGUAUCCCAAACCGCGGCAGACAGCGGCUGCGGCACGAUUGUCCCAGUCGCCCGCGCACACGGCCCCCCAUUGGCCAUUCAGGCAAACCUGCAGGCAAAGGUAAAGGGGAGGGGUAUGUUCGGCCUUUUGGCGAACACUACUAGGCAUGGUGAACGAUGCAUGGCAGCUUACCCAGGGGUGCAUCACGUCCCGGUAUUGAGCCCCCGCCAACAUGUACUGUGCACGCAUUGGCGUGCCCCGGAACCGACGUCGCUCCUUAAAAGCCGUUACCCAUAUAGCCUCCACACCCUCACAUAUUCGCAAACAUAAUUCCCCAAGGAAACGGCCAACCAGAAUGUAUCAAUGCUGCUGCUAUAAUGGAUCUCAAACCCAUGUCCCGCUAUAAUCAACAUCAUCGCACUCACGUACCUCAACCCGACCCAUGCCCGGAGAGCUGCCGUUGACCAGCCGGACUUCCGCGUUGUUGGAGCAGUUGUACGGCGGGGCCGUCAGCACCGGCGUGGCCACCACCGCGCUCCUAGACGGCCAACAAACCAAGCCAACGUCCAGAAAGUGCCCAAUGAUGGAGGCGGCACAUGUUGUGCUGAUCCUGGCCCACGCCUCGUUCGGCACACAGUCCACCAGUCGGCUCUCAUUCCCGUAGCAAAGAUUCCGAAAGGCCGUGGGCUCAAGCCAUUUGGGGACGCUCUCAGCGGCAGGUUGGAAACGUGGGAAAGCCCCGGACCCCCCGUACGACGUCAUGGGGACGCCGUACGCGGUAGGGACACCCAAAAUCUGGCGGCAGGCCAUGGUAGUCAGCACGUCGUCCCAACUCGGAUUGCAAAUAGUUCCCCAGAUUCCUGAGGGAAGGAAACAAUUACGUAUUUGUUUCCUUCAUUUUUGUUUUUGACAUAAAAUGUCAAAUAAAAUGUCAAAAACAAUUUGAGAUUGUUUGUGGUCCAAACAACACCUUGGAAUAUCAGUUAAACUGUGAAUGCAUUAACGGUCGUAUGGGAUUGCUAACAUGACAUCUCUUAACACAUUCAAAAAGCACAGCUAGGAGGCGGCGACGUAAUCUCAAAGCCAGGGGCCCACGUACCGUUGUAGCAGAUUUCAAGCCGGCCCGCAUUAGGGUUCGGUCCGUCUACCAGGCGCAGUGCGCCCACCUCCGUACACAUGUACGAUAGGCCGGGAGUUAGCGGAGAAGGCGGAGGGUUUGGUGGACGAGGGGGAGCUGGCGGUUGCUGUGGAAGGGAAGGAGUGGUUGAGGGGAGAGAAGGUGGCGGAGACGGAGGAGCCCGUGGCGGGGGCGGUGAUGGAGCUGGGGGUGGAGGGAUGUAUUGCUUCGAGCACCUGUACGGAUGAGCGGAUGCAUGGGCAAAGGAACGAGUUACUAUAUGCAUCUGUAACGGACGCGGCAGGUGGGCCACACAUGGACGUUUUCCUGAUGCACGUGCCGUACCUUACAGUCACGUCCGCCAGGUGUGCCGUACACAUGGCCGCGCUCGUCAGCGUAUUCUGAAGGACGCCCACGU